Molecule: transfer RNA, 73 nt
Filed under: Treponema sp.
Lineage: Bacteria; Pseudomonadati; Spirochaetota; Spirochaetia; Treponematales; Treponemataceae
Description: tRNA-Thr
Rfam family: tRNA
About the family: Transfer RNA (tRNA) molecules are approximately 80 nucleotides in length. Their secondary structure includes four short double-helical elements and three loops (D, anti-codon, and T loops). Further hydrogen bonds mediate the characteristic L-shaped molecular structure. tRNAs have two regions of fundamental functional importance: the anti-codon, which is responsible for specific mRNA codon recognition, and the 3' end, to which the tRNAs corresponding amino acid is attached (by aminoacyl-tRNA synthetases). tRNAs cope with the degeneracy of the genetic code in two manners: having more than one tRNA (with a specific anti-codon) for a particular amino acid; and 'wobble' base-pairing, i.e. permitting non-standard base-pairing at the 3rd anti-codon position.
Source: RNAcentral
GCCGCCUUAGCUCAGUUGGUAGAGCACUUGCCUUGUAAUCAUGAGGUCUCCGGUUCAAAUCCGGGAGGCGGCU